Molecule: long non-coding RNA, 1898 nt
Organism: Lolium perenne
Lineage: Eukaryota; Viridiplantae; Streptophyta; Magnoliopsida; Poales; Poaceae
Source: RefSeq, a predicted model, not a curated record
UUCCAUAUCCUAUUCCUGGGUGCUGCUGGCCAGUUGCUACCAGAUGAUGAAGCAAAGAAACUACCAUCAUCAUGCAUGCAAAUUCAUCAUCAGUUAACAGGAGAGCUCCUGCAUAUCUGAAAAGAAAAGAAAAAAAAAAACAGAGAACGCUAGGAUUAGAGGGAGCGCCGAAUAGAGUCUACAGGAUCGAGCAGCGUAAACUGAUAAUGAUCCUGUGCCCCCGGCCUAGAUGGAAAUGCGACGGAAUCGUCGGUCCACGGAUUGCUGGUCGCCAGGCUGUGUAGACACGCGACGGAUUGCUGGUCGCCUGGAUGGAGCGUAUGGGGACGCCAGACUGGUUGUAAGUUGUAUGGCCGCCUCCGUGCACUGCCCCUGCCUGCUCGCCCUCGUUGCCACCUCUUGCGCCCCACCGGCAACUGCCCAACACCAACGCACGUACGAUCCUCCAUGGUCCGACGAGUACCGGGCCAACGACGUCGUGGGCGAGGCGGCGGAGGAAGUGGUCACCGUCGCCGCGAAGCGCGUGGAGGCGGGCGGCUACACGUACGGCUCCACCAGGCUGUGGCUCGCCAUGGGAUGCCCUGCCGCUCCCGGCAAGGGGGUGAACGAGAGCCUGGUCUACGGGAGAGGCGGGUUGUACGAUCGCUUCACGGCGGUGCGGUCGGUGGCUGUUAUUUUCACACGCUUCCAAAUAUGAUGAGAGAUAGGAUGGGUUGAUUACCCAAUUAACGAAGGGCUGCGAGGCAAAAGUGGUAGCGACGUACGACGUACCGGUCGCAUAGGAAUUUAAUAGUAAAGUUUAUUUUACUGAAAUUUGUGUAAGCAAGGUACUACUACUCUUGGAAAUUAAGCUCAUCUUCUUUAUACCUCACUAGUUAGCGUGUACGUGCAACUCACGUCUUCAUUUGUGCAACAUCUAUCCUACACUUUUUCAUUGUGGUCUGCAUAUUACAAUCCUUCAACCCGUAUCUAUCAAUUUUCAGGUCACAUUUUCGCUACAUCUCAACAUACAACUUGACUUAAUGUUCAUAUAUCUUCCUUUACUAUUAAGUCUGAAUGCAACCGUGGUACGUCAGCCUGUUUUGCAAUAUACCCCUCAUAAUUUAUGAAAGUAACCCACAGUCCUCUCUCUCUCUCCCGCAUCAUAUUCUCUUCUUUCUCCAACUAGGCUGCCACCUGCCCCGCGCCUCCCAGGGCUCCGCCGCGCCAGCAAGAGGCCACAAGCCCCCUUCUCUGUUGAGAAGAGUAGAGCGGGUGGAAGGCGGAGGCGAUGGCUGCGGGAAGGGGACGGGGGAUAUGGAGGUUCGUUCUCAAGCGGACGCCAUGAAGGAAGUAUCUCUGCUCCACAGCCGUCGCUGCCAUGGUCUCGAGAUCCGUUUGUCCAGCACGAGCAGCCAUGUACUCCUGCAACGCCACCUCUCCCCUCCCAAAUCUCUUGGAUUUCUUUCCCCUUUUGAUGGGAUACGAUGCGGCCAGUCGCCGACCGCUCGCAUGCGUCGAGCAGCCAACCUUCCGCUAUGAAGUUGCUCUGCUCCUGGUCUUUCCCUGCUCUUCGCGAUGUGCUUGAUUUGGCCGCCGCCGCCCCCACUUCGUCCAGAUACGGCACCACAGCGCCGGCCCCGCAACUGGGAAUGGAAGGGCGACGGCCGAUGCCGAUCUAUGGUGGUGUGGCCCAGGAAUCGCCGGCUGCAAGCACAGCGUGACCUCCACCCUGAUGAGUGAUGAUUCUGCCAUUAAAAAAAGCUGGUUACAUGGCUGAUCCAUUUUCCAAAGCGCAUGCUCAUUGGUUUUGUAUACCUGAUCAAUUUGCUCCCUGAUCAGUGAUAUGUAUGACCUAUAAGACUAGUCUCAAUGGGAGUAUCAUAAGUACAGUAUAAUGCAUACCAUGUUGUCAAAAA